RNAcentral lists this ribosomal RNA (346 nucleotides) under Hyalinobatrachium anachoretus. RNAcentral describes it as "partial 16S ribosomal RNA". The record is from RNAcentral. Lineage: Eukaryota; Metazoa; Chordata; Amphibia; Anura; Centrolenidae.
GCUAAAAAUUUAGCCACAACAACCAACCAUAUGUUAAAUAAAAACUUAAUCACACCAAAUAAAACAUUCCAAUGCUUUAGUAAAGGCGAUUGAAAAAUUACUUAGAGCUAUACAUUAUAGUACCGCAAGGGAAUAAUGAAAUAAAAAUGAAAUAAUUAUCAAGCACAAAAAAGUAGAGAUUACCCCUUGUACCUUUUGCAUCAUGGUUUAACUAGUCCAACCAAGCAAAACGACUUAAAGUUUGACCCCCCGAAACUAAGCGAGCUACUUCAAGGCAGCUUAAUGAGCCAACCCGUCUCUGUAGCAAAAGAGUGGGAAGACCUUCAAGUAGAGGUGAUAGACCUAA